GACGUAGGGUGCGAGCGUUGUCCGGAAUUAUUGGGCGUAAAGAGCUCGUAGGCGGCUUGUCGCGUCGGAUGUGAAAGCCCGGGGCUUAACUCCGGGUCUGCAUUCGAUACGGGCAGGCUAGAGUUCGGUAGGGGAGAUCGGAAUUCCUGGUGUAGCGGUGAAAUGCGCAGAUAUCGGGAAGAACACCCGUGGCGAAGGCGGCUCUCUGGGACGGUACUGACGCUGAGACGCGAAAGCGUGGGGAGCGAACAGG
This 253-nucleotide ribosomal RNA is filed under the name uncultured bacterium. RNAcentral's name for it is "partial 16S ribosomal RNA". It matches the Rfam family "Bacterial small subunit ribosomal RNA", at positions 524 to 776 of the family's 1533-position model. The record is from RNAcentral.